Molecule: ribosomal RNA, 434 nt
Filed under: uncultured Lachnospiraceae bacterium
Lineage: Bacteria; Bacillati; Bacillota; Clostridia; Lachnospirales; Lachnospiraceae
Description: partial 16S ribosomal RNA
Rfam family: Bacterial small subunit ribosomal RNA
Source: RNAcentral
ACGGGAGGCAGCAGUGGGGAAUAUUGCACAAUGGGGGAAACCCCGAUGCAGCGACGCCGCGUGAGUGAAGAAGUAUUUCGGUAUGUAAAGCUCUAUCAGCAGGGAAGAAAAUGACGGUACCUGACUAAGAAGCACCGGCUAAAUACGUGCCAGCAGCCGCGGUAAUACGUAUGGUGCAAGCGUUAUCCGGAUUUACUGGGUGUAAAGGGAGCGUAGACGGCGAGGCAAGUCUGAAGUGAAAUGCGGGGGCUCAACCCCUGAACUGCUUUGGAAACUGUUUUGCUAGAGUGCAGGAGAGGUAAGUGGAAUUCCUAGUGUAGCGGUGAAAUGCGUAGAUAUUAGGAGGAACACCGGCGGCGAAGGCGGCUUACUGGACUGUAACUGACGUUGAGGCUCGAAAGCGUGGGGAGCAAACAGGAUUAGAUACCCUGGUA